GAUGAACGCUAGCGGCAGGCCUAAUACAUGCAAGUCGAACGGAUAUAUGUUUUUCGGAAUAUAUAUUAGUGGCGCACGGGUGAGUAACACGUACAUAACUUGCCCUCAAGCGGGGGAUAGCCUUGGGAAACUGAGAGUAAUACCCCAUAGAAUUAUUGGACGGCAUCGUUUGAUAAUUAAAACUACGGUGCUUGGGGAUAGAUGUGCGUCUGAUUAGCUAGUUGGUGAGGUAACUGCUCACCAAGGCGACGAUCAGUAGGGGGCGUGAGAGCGUGGCCCCCCACACGGGUACUGAGACACGGACCCGACUCCUACGGGAGGCAGCAGUAAGGAAUAUUGGUCAAUGGAGGGAACUCUGAACCAGCCAUGCCGCGUGAAGGAUGACGGCCCUCUGGGUUGUAAACUUCUUUUGGGAUGGGGACGAAAAACGGGAUUUAUCCUGGACUGACGGUACCAUCAGAAUAAGCACCGGCUAACUCCGUGCCAGCAGCC
This 492-nucleotide ribosomal RNA is filed under the name uncultured bacterium. Its description in RNAcentral is "bacterial SSU rRNA". It matches the Rfam family "Bacterial small subunit ribosomal RNA", at positions 28 to 516 of the family's 1533-position model. The record is from RNAcentral.